ACUUUCCUAGUCAAGCCGCGGAGUGGGCGGGGCCUCCUGCCCAGACUUGAAGCCACACAGGCAGGUCGGGCAGGCGGGUCGCAGGUUGUAAAUCCAUGUGGCGGGGGCUUUGGACCCUGGCGGCCCAAGCGGCACGUGGGCCUCGCAGAUUGUGCACUCGCCGGAGCAGCGGCCCACCAGCCCCCGGCUCCGGCGCCACCAUCUUCGCGCUAAGCUCUGGCCAAGGCCGCUGCGGCAUCGCGGUGAUCCGGACCAGCGGCUCCGCCAGCGGCCACGCCCUCCGAAUUCUCACGGCACCCCGAGACCUGCCCCCUGCUCGCCACGCCAGCGUGCGCCUCCUCAGAGACCCCCGCUCCGGGGAGCCUCUGGACCGCGCACUGGUACUCUGGUUCCCAGGUGAGGGUCCCCAGGUUCCGAGCCUCCUAUAGGUCCCAUGACUCAGUUUCCCCCUUCCAAGGGUUUGCACUGGCUGUGCUGUCCUCCUGACUGUCAGCUGUCUGCCACAUUAGGUCCCCAGAGUUUCACUGGUGAGGACUGCGUGGAGUUCCACGUGCAUGGAGGCCCGGCAGUGGUGAGCGGCGUCCUGCAGGCCUUGG
Molecule: small RNA, 596 nt
Filed under: Pongo abelii (Sumatran orangutan)
Lineage: Eukaryota; Metazoa; Chordata; Mammalia; Primates; Hominidae
Description: retained intron
Source: RNAcentral